UACGUAGGUGACUAGCGUUGUUCGGAUUUAUUGGGCGUAAAGGGUCCGCAGGGGGCCGGCUAAGUCUGAUGUGAAAUCCCGAAGCUUAACUUCGGAACUGCAUUGGAAACUGGCUGGCUAGAGCAUCGGAGAGGAGAGUGGAAUUCCAGGUGUAGCGGUGGAAUGCGUAGAUAUCUGGAAGAACACCAAAGGCGAAGGCAGCUCUCUGGACGAUCGCUGACCCUCAGGGACGAAAGCAUGGGGAG
This 245-nucleotide ribosomal RNA is filed under the name uncultured bacterium. RNAcentral describes it as "partial 16S ribosomal RNA". It matches the Rfam family "Bacterial small subunit ribosomal RNA", at positions 524 to 768 of the family's 1533-position model. The record is from RNAcentral.